AGAACCUAGCAGAAACCUUUCUGGCCUUGAAAACAAAAAGAAAAGUACAAUCAUGGGAGAUGGUGAAAUGGAGUGUUUCGGCUCGGCGGCCAUUUAUCUCUGGCAGCCAGAAAGAGAGCGAAUCAAGGCUCAGAAAACCCGCUUUGAUGACAAAUCAGCAUUCUUCAUGACAGAUGCAGAUGAGAUGUACCUGAAAGGUAUUCUUUUUAGUAAAGAGGGUGGCAAAGCUAAUGUCAAAACUCACAGUGGGAAAACUGUUACAGUAAAAUAAGAUGAAAUAUUCCCAAUGAAUCCUCCCAUUGUUUGACAGAAUUGAGGACAUGGCCAACCCUUAUGACUACCCAAUGAUCAGCCAGGGUGAAAUCACUGUCAAGAGUAUCAAUGACGUGGAGGAGUUCAUUGCCACUGAUGUAUGUUGACAACUGCAAUAUUAUUUUUAGU
Long non-coding RNA from Sinocyclocheilus rhinocerous, 441 nucleotides. RefSeq lists it as uncharacterized. The record is from RefSeq and is a predicted model, not a curated record. Lineage: Eukaryota; Metazoa; Chordata; Actinopteri; Cypriniformes; Cyprinidae. The transcript has 3 exons.